CAGUAGCCACGGUAAUACGUAGGUCCCGAGCGUUGUCCGGAUUUAUUGGGCGUAAAGCGAGCGCAAGCGGUUAGAUAAGUCUGAAGUUAAAGGCUGUGGCUUAACCAUAGUACGCUUUGGAAACUGUUUAACUUGAGUGCAGAAGGGGAGAGUGGAAUUCCAUGUGUAGCGGUGAAAUGCGUAGAUAUAUGGAGGAACACCGGUGGCGAAAGCGGCUCUCUGGUCUGUAACUGACGCUGAGGCUCGAAAGCGUGGGGAGCAAACAGGAUUAGAUACCCCGGUAGUCCCUGUCUCUUAUACA
This 301-nucleotide ribosomal RNA is filed under the name uncultured bacterium. RNAcentral describes it as "partial 16S ribosomal RNA". It matches the Rfam family "Bacterial small subunit ribosomal RNA", at positions 509 to 808 of the family's 1533-position model. The record is from RNAcentral.